UUUGGAAGAAGCUUUGGAACCAGUUUAUAUACUUGGAAAAUUAAUUUGCUUGAUAGGCAUCUGUGGUUAUACCAGUUCCAUGUGGGGCUCUGUGUUAGGCCUUUGAGGACGUUCUUUAGGGACCCAGCAGGGAGCCUUGUGGGAGAAGAGAGAGGCCCACGGUUAAGUACAACUAACUGGCAUGAUUUGGGCAUUCCAGAAGCUUGAGCUAUGUGAUGAGGCUGUAUCCUACCUCAGUCUGUGGGGGCUUCACUAGCUUGAAAGAAAAUAGGAAUAAAUUAAAAUUCAAACUGCAUUUAUCCUGUCUAUUUAAUUAGGUUUACUGACAUCCAUAGACUAAUAAUUCGGAUCCUAAUGGCUUGGAAGCUUGAGCUAAGUAUUGUCAUGGCACAGCAAUAUCUGCUCUAGGACAUGUUUACAACAUUACAUUUAGUGUCUUUUUUACUAUUAUGAAAGUAAUAUAUGCUUAUGUGGACAUUUAGGAACACACGCAAGAGUGUAGAUGAAACACCUAAUCACCCAUAAUUCAAUACCUAGAGAUUAUUGCUGUCUUUUAAAAAAAUGUGUUUUCCCAUAUGAGUAUAUUGUAUAAAAAAAUCUUACAACUUUAAAAAAAAUUUUUUUAUGUUAUCACAUGUUUUUAGGAUGGUAGAAUUAAAGCCCAUUAACAGUCUUGUUAUUUAUUCCAGUUUUUUUUCUAAAAUAAUAGCUUUGAACAUAAAUCUCAAUAAUUUUUGCAUGUAAGUAUAUAAAAAUAUUUCUGGAUAUAACUAGGUAAAGAAUAAUUAACAGAGCCAAAGGAGGCAUGCUGAGCGGGGCUGAGAAGUGGGCCCCUGAGCCAGCAAGUGCCAGGGAACACCUUGCAGGCGCAGGCAGGGGGCCUGAGCUGGCAACCAAGGCUCUUGAUCUGAAACUUAAAGGAACAGACUGGGUUCUGGUAGGCGUGUGGAAUCGGGAUCCAGGGAGCUGUGGGGCAUCUCAAGAAGUUAAGUUAAAUGGUGUCAGGAGGGGAAAAUAGGCAGUAAGUAUCUGGCUCUAGCCUUGGGUCCCAGGCUGAUCUAGCUAGCGGCAGCAUGGCCAUC
Molecule: long non-coding RNA, 1082 nt
Filed under: Marmota monax (woodchuck)
Lineage: Eukaryota; Metazoa; Chordata; Mammalia; Rodentia; Sciuridae
Source: RNAcentral